UAGGGAAUCUUCGGCAAUGGGGGGAACCCUGACCGAGCAACGCCGCGUGAGUGAAGAAGGUUUUCGGAUCGUAAAGCUCUGUUGUUAAGGAAGAACGAGUGUGAGAAUGGAAAGUUCAUGCUGUGACGGUACUUAACCAGAAAGGGACGGCUAACUACGUGCCAGCAGCCGCGGUAAUACGUAGGUCCCGAGCGUUGUCCGGAUUUAUUGGGCGUAAAGCGAGCGCAGGCGGUUAGAAAAGUCUGAAGUGAAAGGCAGUGGCUCAACCAUUGUAGGCUUUGGAAACUGUUUAACUUGAGUGCAGAAGGGGAGGGUGGAAUUCCAUGUGUAGCAGUGAAAUGCGUAGAUAUAUGGAGGAACACCGGUGGCGAAAGCGGCUCUCUGGUCUGUAACUGACGCUGAGGCUCGAAAGCGGGGGGAGCGAACAGG
Molecule: ribosomal RNA, 429 nt
Filed under: Verrucomicrobiota bacterium
Lineage: Bacteria; Pseudomonadati; Verrucomicrobiota
Description: Verrucomicrobia bacterium partial 16S ribosomal RNA
Rfam family: Bacterial small subunit ribosomal RNA
Source: RNAcentral